UCUGUCUAGUGCUUCAAGAUCUCUGUUUGAUUAUGUUGCUCAUCUUUUUUGGUGCUGACUGCCACAAACUGCACCAAGAUCAACUUUGCAAGUCUACUUGCCCUGGGCAGAACACCGGUUACUUGACCAGUAUUGUGUUUAAGGCUGAAGGCCAAAACUCAGGCAGACACGGUGGACCAUCGGUUCAAGAGGUUUCCAAUACAGUGAGGAGGCUGUGUGCUCAUCUUGCAGAUCAACAACAGGUCAGGCACUGGCUCACAGCAUUAAGGCUUUUCUUUUAUUCAAGAUGGUCGGUUUCACUCUUUUUUCUUCAUCACCCUUUGCAAUCAGAGCUUCUCCUGAAUCUAGUGCUUCAGUUGAGAACCUUGUCAUCCCAUCAGUUGAGAGACCUGUGG
Long non-coding RNA from Cyprinus carpio (common carp), 395 nucleotides. NCBI's taxonomy places the organism in Eukaryota, Metazoa, Chordata, Actinopteri, Cypriniformes, Cyprinidae. The record is from Ensembl.